Molecule: ribosomal RNA, 771 nt
Filed under: uncultured bacterium
Lineage: Bacteria
Description: bacterial SSU rRNA
Rfam family: Bacterial small subunit ribosomal RNA
Source: RNAcentral
AGAGUUUGAUCCUGGCUCAGGACGAACGCUGGCGGCGUGCUUAACACAUGCAAGUCGAACGGAAAGGCCCUUCGGGGUACUCGAGUGGCGAACGGGUGAGUAACACGUGGGUGAUCUGCCCUGCACUCUGGGAUAAGCCUGGGAAACUGGGUCUAAUACCGGAUAGGACCACACACUUCAUGGUGAGUGGUGCAAAGCUUUUGCGGUGUGGGAUGAGCCCGCGGCCUAUCAGCUUGUUGGUGGGGUAAUGGCCCACCAAGGCGACGACGGGUAGCCGGCCUGAGAGGGUGACCGGCCACACUGGGACUGAGAUACGGCCCAGACUCCUACGGGAGGCAGCAGUAGGGAAUAUUGCACAAUGGGCGCAAGCCUGAUGCAGCGACGCCGCGUGAGGGAUGACGGCCUUCGGGUUGUAAACCUCUUUCAGUAGGGACGAAGCGAAAGUGACGGUACCUACAGAAGAAGGACCGGCCAACUACGUGCCAGCAGCCGCGGUAAUACGUAGGGUCCGAGCGUUGUCCGGAAUUACUGGGCGUAAAGAGCUCGUAGGUGGUUUGUCGCGUUGUUCGUGAAAACUCACAGCUUAACUGUGGGCGUGCGGGCGAUACGGGCAGACUUGAGUACUGCAGGGGAGACUGGAAUUCCUGGUGUAGCGGUGGAAUGCGCAGAUAUCAGGAGGAACACCGGUGGCGAAGGCGGGUCUCUGGGCAGUAACUGACGCUGAGGAGCGAAAGCGUGGGGAGCGAACAGGAUUAGAUACCCUGGUAGUCC